This 546-nucleotide ribosomal RNA is filed under the name uncultured bacterium. Its description in RNAcentral is "bacterial SSU rRNA". It matches the Rfam family "Bacterial small subunit ribosomal RNA", at positions 28 to 564 of the family's 1533-position model. The record is from RNAcentral.
AUUGAACGCUGGCGGCAGGCUUAACACAUGCAAGUCGAGCGGUAACAGAAAGGAGCUUGCUUCUUUGCUGACGAGCGGCGGACGGGUGAGUAAUGCCUGGGAAUCUGCCUGAUAGUGGGGGAUAACUUGCCGAAAGGUAAGCUAAUACCGCAUACGUCCUACGGGAGAAAGCAGGGGAUCUUCGGACCUUGCGCUAUCAGAUGAGCCCAGGCCGGAUUAGCUAGUUGGUGGGGUAAAGGCCUACCAAGGCGACGAUCCGUAGCUGGUCUGAGAGGAUGAUCAGCCACACCGGGACUGAGACACGGCCCGGACUCCUACGGGAGGCAGCAGUGGGGAAUAUUGGACAAUGGGGGGAACCUGAUCCAGCCAUGCCGCGUGUGUGAAGAAAGUCUUCGGAUUGUAAAGCACUUUAAGUUGGGAGGAAGGGUUUCUGGUUAAUACCCGGGAAUUUUGACGUUACCAACAGAAUAAGCACCGGCUAACUUCGUGCCAGCAGCCGCGGUAAUGCGAAAGGUGCGAGCGGUUAUCGGAAUUACUGGGCGUAAA